CCUACGGGCGGCAGCAGUGAGGAAUAUUGGUCAAUGGGCGAGAGUCUGAACCAGCCAAGUAGCGUGAAGGAUGACUGCCCUAUGGGUUGUAAACUUCUUUUAUAUGGGAAUAAAAUGUUCCACGUGUGGGUUUUUGUAUGUACCAUAUGAAUAAGGAUCGGCUAACUCCGUGCCAGCAGCCGCGGUAAUACGGAGGAUCCGAGCGUUAUCCGGAUUUAUUGGGUUUAAAGGGAGCGUAGGUGGAUUGUUAAGUCAGUUGUGAAAGUUUGCGGCUCAACCGUAAAAUUGUAGUUGAUACUGGCAGUCUUGAGUACAGUAGAGGUGGGCGGAAUUCGUGGUGUAGCGGUGAAAUGCUUAGAUAUCACGAAGAACUCCGAUUGCGAAGGCAGCUCACUGGACUGCAACUGACACUGAGGCUCGAAAGUGUGGGUAUCAAACAGGAUUAGAUACCCGUGUAGUC
RNAcentral lists this ribosomal RNA (460 nucleotides) under uncultured bacterium. RNAcentral describes it as "partial 16S ribosomal RNA". It matches the Rfam family "Bacterial small subunit ribosomal RNA", at positions 338 to 795 of the family's 1533-position model. The record is from RNAcentral.